GAGGGUACAGCUCAGUGGUAGAGUGCCUGCCUAGCAUGCAUUGAGGUCCUGGGUUCAAUACCCAGUACCUCUA
This 73-nucleotide transfer RNA is filed under the name Camelus bactrianus (Bactrian camel). It matches the Rfam family "tRNA". From Rfam's summary of the family: Transfer RNA (tRNA) molecules are approximately 80 nucleotides in length. The record is from Rfam by way of RNAcentral. RNAcentral also lists the same sequence under 1 other name. Lineage: Eukaryota; Metazoa; Chordata; Mammalia; Artiodactyla; Camelidae.